RNAcentral lists this small RNA (914 nucleotides) under Pan troglodytes (chimpanzee). RNAcentral's name for it is "retained intron". Lineage: Eukaryota; Metazoa; Chordata; Mammalia; Primates; Hominidae. The record is from RNAcentral.
UUCACCAACCAGAUGAGCAUCGGGCGCGGGAAGCUGCCAGCCGAGGAGUUCAAGGCCAAGGUGGAGGCUGUGGUGGAGAAGCUGGGGGUCCCCUUCCAGGUGCUGGUGGCCACGCACGCAGGCUUGUACCGGAAGCCGGUGACGGGCAUGUGGGACCAUCUGCAGGAGCAGGCCAACGACGGCGCGCCCAUAUCCAUCGGGGACAGCAUCUUUGUGGGAGACGCAGCCGGACGCCCGGCCAACUGGGCCCCGGGGCGGAAGAAGAAAGACUUCUCCUGCGCCGAUCGCCUGGUGAGGCCCCUGCCCCCUGCCCCGCGCCCGAGCCCGAGCCUGGCCUGUGUCUGAUGUUCGUCCUCAACCCCUAGUUUGCCCUCAACCUUGGCCUGCCCUUCGCCACCCCUGAGGAGUUCUUUCUGAAGUGGCCAGCAGCAGGCUUCGAGCUCCCAGCCUUUGAUCCGAGGACUGUCUCCCGCUCAGGGCCUCUCUGCCUCCCCGAGUCCAGGGCCCUCCUGAGCGCUAGCCCGGAGGUGGUUGUCGCAGUGGGAUUCCCUGGGGGUAAGUGUCCUGUCCCUGUGCCCUGAGCCCCGCCUGGGUCCUAGGCCACCCACCGACACUGCUCCCCACACAGCCGGGAAGUCCACCUUUCUCAAGAAGCACCUCGUGUCGGCCGGAUAUGUCCACGUGAACAGGGUAUGACCAGUCUUUUGCCGCCCCAAAUCUAUUAAGUUCCCAUCUCCACCUCUCAACUAGUUUGGGGCGGCUUUCCUCCAUCACUGCCUCCCCGUCCCCGCUCGGGGUCUUCUCUCCCCCCGGGUCUGCUGAUCUGUUUGUGACCUCUCGUGUCCCCAGGACACGCUAGGCUCCUGGCAGCGCUGUGUGACCACCUGUGAGACAGCCCUGAAGCAAGGGAAACG